This 1291-nucleotide long non-coding RNA is filed under the name Homo sapiens (human). RNAcentral's name for it is "HSALNT0056981". The record is from RNAcentral. Lineage: Eukaryota; Metazoa; Chordata; Mammalia; Primates; Hominidae.
UAGGGAAAAAUAUUAAAAUGGCUACAGCAACUUGAGCUUUUCACGGAAUGGCCACUAUAAUGAAUGAAUGAAUGUCCAUGGUUAGCCCCUCUCCCAGCGUACCUGCAGGGAGACUGAAUCAUAGCUGUGAUAAGUUAAGAAUGAAAUGGUGACUUCUAGACACACCUCUUGUGAAAUAGAAACAAGGCACUUGUUCCUGAGAGUGUCCUCACCCCUAUGGACUCUUCAUAGCGAUUGCAAAAGGCUGGGAUAAUGAUGUUUCAUGCUGACAUUUUGAUGGCACCAGUGUCCCAUCAUGACAUGGUGGGGAAACUCAAUAGGGUAGGAUUAGAUAAUUUUGCAAAAGAUAAUUAAGGGACUCUUUUCUUUUGGUUCCCAACCAAUUCAUGAAGUUGUGACUGUGUCAGAAACCUUCCCUUACCUUUAGAGUUAGUGAGGUGCAGUGCAAAGAACACAAAUGUGAAGCAGACUCAUCUGUGUAAUUUUGUGCAAAUUAAUGAAUGUUUCCAAAUUCUUGGUUUUAUGUGUUAAAUAACUACAUCCUAGGGAUGAUGGGUAUAUUAAAUAAACUAAUGCAUGUUAAUUACUUCUUAUAGCUCCUAAUGAGUUAGCAUGAAUUUACAGAAUUGGACACUUGGGUUCAAAUUAUCAGUCUGCCUCUUGUGCAUUUUGGUAAUUUAGAGGAAGCUAUUUAAUUUUUCUCAACUCCAUUUUCCUCAGUUGGGAAAUGGAGAUAAUAGUAUCACCCAAUAUGGUGUGUUGUUGUUUGGGUUAGGGAGUGAAUUAGCGUCAUAAAUAGCAUACCAUAACAUUCUAUUCAGGUUAACUUUUAUUUUAUAAUCAGUUAUUUUCAUUUCUAUGAUUCAUUUAAUGAUAAUAAAAUUAAAUGACCCUACUGGCUGCUAACAUUUCAAUUUUAUGGGAAAAAUGUAGUUUUAAUAUUUGGAGAAGGAAUAUGCAAUGAAUAUCUAGCAUGAAUAUUGACAAAUUUACAUUAAAAUUAUUUUAAAGUACUCGUUAUUCUGGGUUACUGAAGACAAAUAUGUGUCUUGGUCUUCAAGAGGCAAUAACUAAAUAUGAAGAAUCUUUUAGAAAUUUAUUAUUUUAAUUUUUUUUUAGAUACAGGGUCUUACUUUAUGGCUCAGUGUGGAGUGAAGUGGUGCAAUCAUAGCUCAAUGCAUCCUUGAACUCCUGGGCCCAAAGAUGCCUCAGCCUCCCAAGUAGCUGGGACGACAGGUGUGUGCCACCACAUCCAGCUAAUUUUUGUAUUUUUCAAAGAGACAGGGUCUCA